This 460-nucleotide ribosomal RNA is filed under the name uncultured bacterium. RNAcentral describes it as "partial 16S ribosomal RNA". It matches the Rfam family "Bacterial small subunit ribosomal RNA", at positions 338 to 795 of the family's 1533-position model. The record is from RNAcentral.
CCUACGGGAUGCAGCAGUGAGGAAUAUUGGUCAAUGGGCUUACGCCUGAACCAGCCAAGUCGCGUGAGGGAAGACUGCCCUAUGGGUUGUAAACCUCUUUUGUCAGGGAGCAACGCCGGCUACGUGUAGCCGGACUGAGAGUACCUGAAGACAAAGCCUCGGCUAACUCCGGGCCAGCAGCCGCGGUAAUACGGAGGAUGCGAGCGUAAUCCGAAUUUAUUGGGUGUAAAGGGUGCGUAGGCGGAAUGCCAAGUCAGCGGUAAAAUCGCGGGGCUCAACCUCGCUCCGCCGUUGAAACUGGCGUGCUUGAGUGGGCGAGAAGUAUGCGGAAUGCGUGGUGUAGCGGUGAAAUGCAUAGAUAUCACGCAGAACUCCGAUUGCGAAGGCAGCAUACCGGCGCCCAACUGACGCUGAAGCACGAAAGCGUGGGUAUCGAACAGGAUUAGAUACCCGAGUAGUC